This 497-nucleotide ribosomal RNA is filed under the name uncultured bacterium. RNAcentral describes it as "partial 16S ribosomal RNA". It matches the Rfam family "Bacterial small subunit ribosomal RNA", at positions 28 to 507 of the family's 1533-position model. The record is from RNAcentral.
GAUGAACGCUGGCUGCGUGCCUAAUACAUGCAAGUCGAGCGAACAGACGAGGAGCUUGCUCCUCUGACGUUAGCGGCGCACGGGUGAGUAACACGUGGAUAACCUACCUAUAAGACUGGGAUAACUUCGGGAAACCGGAGCUAAUACCGGAUAAUAUAUUGAACCGCAUGGUUCAAUAGUGAAAGACGGUUUGGCUGUCACUUAUAGAUGGAUCCGCGCCGCAUUAGCUAGUUGGUAAGGUAACGGCUUACCAAGGCAACGAUGCGUAGCCGACCUGAGAGGAUGAUCAGCCGCACUGGAACUGCGACACGCUCCAGACUCCUACGGGAGGCAGCAGUAGGGAAUCUUCCGCAAUGGGCGAGAGCCUGACGGAACAACGCCACGUGAGUGACGAAGAUCUUCGGGUCGUAAAACUCUGGUAUUGGGGAAGAACAAGUGUGUAAGUAAAUAUGCACGUCUUGACGGUACCUAAUCAGAAAGCCACGGCUAACUACGUG